CUACGGGAGGCUGCAGUGAGGAAUAUUGGUCAAUGGGCGCAAGCCUGAACCAGCCAAGUCGCGUGCAGGAAGACUGCCCUAUGGGUUGUAAACUGCUUUUGUAUGGGAGUAAAGUGCUCUACGUGUAGAGUUUUGCAAGUAUCAUACGAAUAAGGAUCGGCUAACUCCGUGCCAGCAGCCGCGGUAAUACGGAGGAUCCAAGCGUUAUCCGGAUUUAUUGGGUUUAAAGGGUGCGUAGGCGGGAUAUUAAGUCAGUGGUGAAAGUUUGCAGCUCAACUGUAAAAUUGCCAUUGAAACUGAUAUUCUUGAGUACAAAUGAGGUAGGCGGAAUGUGUUGUGUAGCGGUGAAAUGCAUAGAUAUAACACAGAACACCGAUUGCGAAGGCAGCUUACUGGGAUGUAACUGACGCUGAGGCACGAAAGCGUGGGGAUCAAACAGGAUUAGAUACCCCUGUAGUC
This 459-nucleotide ribosomal RNA is filed under the name uncultured bacterium. RNAcentral's name for it is "partial 16S ribosomal RNA". It matches the Rfam family "Bacterial small subunit ribosomal RNA", at positions 339 to 795 of the family's 1533-position model. The record is from RNAcentral.